UCCCUGGGUUCAAUCCACAGUAUCAAGGAAAAAGAAAGCAUGUCAUAACCCUCUGUAGCUAGAACAAAGGGUAGCAAAAAGCUAGAUGACCUUGUCCCUGACCGAGGAUGCCCAUGAAGCACCCCAACAUUGGGCUGGGAAUUUGGCAGUUCAAAGAGUUCAGGCUGACUGAUACACUCCUAUUUUCCUUACUUCUAGGCUCUAUUGUAGGGGAACUGAGGCAGAGAGGCAUGGCCAUCACACAAUAAGAGGUGUGGACCUAGAAAUCCCCACACCCAGCCCACUUCUUGGACCAGAAUUACAAGCCUCCCUUGGUGGCAGGCACGGUGACACAAACAGACAAUGAGCCAGACAGCAGGGCCAGCACGACCCCCACAAGAAACAGUCACUCAUAGACACUCUCACUUGCACACCCAGGUGCAACCAGACAGAAGGGCCCAGCGGUGGCCCUGCCAGGCUGGACCAGGAACAAUGCUCUCCGACUGUCAGCACCAGGAACCAUCCCAGCCUUGAAAUCUAGGUCACAGCAGCAGGCUCUGGAGCCCAGCCCCGCCUCCACUGAUAAUCCCAGGGCAGAAAAGGGUGUAGAUGGGAGGGUUAUGAUGGGAAGGGGGUCUAGAGAUAAGGAUAGGGACUGGGGGAUGGGGCAUGCUGGUUGGGAAAGCGCAGCAUGAGAAAGAGACCAGAACUUGCCCCAGUGGGUGAGACCCUGCCACCAAACCCUCAGCUUCAGUUAGGAAAGGGGGUAGCAUUAGGGUCAAAACAGGCUUGGUUUCACAUGGAAGAAGAGUUUGUAAAUAUGGUAGAUCCUGUGGGAGGAAUGUGUGUGCGCGCGCGCACGUGUGUGUGUGUGUGUGUGUGUGUGUGUGUGUGAGAGAGAGAGAGAGAGAGAGAGAGAGAGAGAGAAUAUCUCGGGAAGAAUUGAGAUUUAGGGCUCAAUCUAAAACACAGAUCUAUAAGGAGGUGGGUGAAACAGGAUUAGUGUGUGUGACACCCCCACCCACAAGGCUGGGGGCAGUGGGUAGGAGCUUUCGAAGAGUGAAACAGAUACAAGGCCCCUAAGAGGAAUGGGGGUGGGAAUGUAAAGUGGCUAAGGGGGUGACGUGUAUGUGCCAGAUUCUAUGUAUGUGUGGAUGCUGAUCCCUGGGUGUGUGUACAGGUGUGUGGAGGAGGCAGUGGGUGUGUUUGGAUGUUCUCGUAACUGGCUGUGAGUGUGUGUGGGAUGUGUGUUUGUAUGUGUCUGAACCAGCUGAGUGUGUGUAAGAAAGUACAUAACCACAGGCUCCCAUCCAGAGGGUGAGGGGAGCCUACAGAACGGAGGAAGAGAGCAGGAGCCGGGAAAGGGAGAGACUGAGGCUGCGAAUGAGGAAUCCUAGGGGAAAGUGGGGGGAUGGAGCUCAGAGUCCACAAGGCUGCAGCCUCAGCUCAGCCGUUAGCACAGCAACCUCGGUUCUGCCCCUGCCCCCCGAAUCAUCAGGACAAUGAUACCACUGGACGGAAGGAGAGUGAAGAGUGGGCAGUAAGGGACAACAGGAUAAGAACAGGGCCCCCUAAGGGAGUAAAGAAAGGCCAUGGUUACCUGCCUUUCUAGAUCCCAUUUGCCCGUGCCUAGGUGUGGCAGCAGAGGCAAGGGCAGAAUAGAUUGGGGGGAGGUAUUUGGGGGCGGUGGGAAGAUGGAAUCUCAAGACUCACUGAUCAACUAUUGUCCCUGGCCGGUCUGGCAGUGGUGGGACUUGGCAGAGCCUGGCUCCUUCAUCCUCGGUUGACUCUUUCCUCAUCAGAGAUUUAGAACUACUUAGGGCCCACGGAGAAGUUUUCUGUCCUCCUUGCUCUGAAAAAUCCUUCUGAUCUCUGGAGCAGUGUAGAGGGCUGCCCAGGGAACACCAGGCAGCCUGGGCGGAGGCCAUUCUGAGGACAGGAUACCAGCGCAGGAACUGGGAACCGGAGCUGAGGCUGCCAGGAAGUCGGUCCCCUUCCCUCCCAGCUCAUUCUGUGUGCUGCUCACCGCUUCCUCAUACCUUCCUUCCUUCCUCCCUCUCCUAAACUAGCUCCAGGUGGAGCCCUGACAAAGGUAGAACCAACUGACAAAGAUGAUGCUGAGAAACAGAAAGAGGCAGGAGGCGAAGAUGAGAAUGCUGUAGGGGAGGGCGCAGAACCACCAGGCCAACCUGUGGAGGGCAAGAUUUGGUCAAUGUGGCUGACGUUACAGAGGCCGGAAAAGAACACGCUCAGAGACAACACGUGGGAGUCGCGUGUUCCAUGUCCGUGCUCACGUGUGGCUGAGAGUGUGCCGGAGACAGUCUGUAUUGGGAUGAUCUCUCUCAUCCCCAAUCUCUUCCCUGUUCAUCCCUCACACUACCACCUGAAACUCUCGACUAUGGCAACUCAAGAACAAAGACGUCCCAUGCACUCAAAUGUCUUUCAAGGUUCUUCGCACCUAAAUGGGCUUUAUGGCAGUACAGAGAGUUGGGGAACCUGUUCCUUCAAACCAGUCAGGAUAGUGUGCAUAGAAUCCAGACCCAACUAGGAGAAUCAUGAAUCGAUAAAAAUGUUCCCAGGGAAUGAAAGACUUCACCACAAUAUUGGGGACGCGAUGGCCCACCUGAUGCUGCAGCAGUCAUGGAGUGAAUGGAGAGAUCGAUGGCUAAGGAAACCCAACACCUUGCAAGCACCACCUUAUUCUACAGUGGGAAACCUCGUAGCGGACCCAGGUACUUCCACGUCACAGCCGCGAGUGACUCCCACGUGACUUUCACCCAGCAGCAGCAGCCUUUGCUACUUCCUCUGCUCGUGAUGCUGAUUCUCCUGAGCCAUUCCGCUGCUCAGAGGUGAAGUGGAAGGCCAAGGCCAAGCUCCCGGCCGUGCCUCCCUCACCCGUCCUUCACCACCAUUCUCCUACCUUGGUUGGUUCUGUACCUGGUACUUGUUGGUAGAAUUAAAGGGAAUCUCUGCUA
Molecule: non-coding RNA, 2954 nt
Organism: Ictidomys tridecemlineatus (thirteen-lined ground squirrel)
Lineage: Eukaryota; Metazoa; Chordata; Mammalia; Rodentia; Sciuridae
Source: RefSeq, a predicted model, not a curated record